AUGACUGCCGAAGACAGCAGGUGCUUUCAAACAGCGUAAGUGGUGAUACACGCCUGCCGAGGAUGAUAUGAGAUUCGAUUUCUAUGAAUUUGUACAACCUCUGCGUCUUACGGGCCGGAGGUUUUUAUUAUG
Molecule: small RNA, 132 nt
Filed under: Extibacter muris
Lineage: Bacteria; Bacillati; Bacillota; Clostridia; Lachnospirales; Lachnospiraceae
Description: Ribosomal protein L10 leader
Rfam family: Ribosomal protein L10 leader
About the family: This family is a putative r-protein leader autoregulatory structure found in B. subtilis and other low-GC Gram-positive bacteria.
Source: RNAcentral